Molecule: ribosomal RNA, 253 nt
Filed under: uncultured bacterium
Lineage: Bacteria
Description: partial 16S ribosomal RNA
Rfam family: Bacterial small subunit ribosomal RNA
Source: RNAcentral
UACAGAGGUCUCAAGCGUUGUUCGGAUUCAUUGGGCGUAAAGGGUGCGUAGGCGGCGCGGUAAGUCGGGUGUGAAAUCUCGGAGCUUAACUCCGAAACUGCAUUCGAUACUGCCGUGCUUGAGGACUGGAGAGGAGACUGGAAUUUACGGUGUAGCGGUGAAAUGCGUAGAUAUCGUAAGGAAGACCAGUGGCGAAGGCGGGUCUCUGGACAGUUACUGACGCUCAGGCACGAAAGCAUGGGGAGCAAAAGGG